AUUGAACGCUGGCGGCAGGCUUAACACAUGCAAGUCGAGCGGGGUGAUGGUGCUUGCACUAUCACUUAGCGGCGGACGGGUGAGUAAUGCUUAGGAAUCCGCCUAUUAGUGGGGGACAACAUCUCGAAAGGGAUGCUAAUAGCGCAUACGUCCUACGGGAGAAAGCAGGGGAUCACUUGUGACCUUGCGCUAAUAGAUGAGCCGAAGUCGGAUUAGCUAGUUGGUGGGGUAAAGGCCUACCAAGGCGACGAUCUGUAGCGGGUCUGAGAGGAUGAUCCGCCACACUGGGACUGAGACACGGCCCAGACUCCUACGGGAGGCAGCAGUGGGGAAUAUUGGACAAUGGGGGGAACCCUGAUCCAGCCAUGCCGCGUGUGUGAAGAAGGCCUUAUGGUUGUAAAGCACUUUAAGCGAGGAGGAGGCUCUUUUGGUUAAUACCCAAGAUGAGUGGACGUUACUCGCAGAAUAAGCACCGGCUAACUCUGUGCCAGCCGCCGCCGUAA
RNAcentral lists this ribosomal RNA (503 nucleotides) under uncultured bacterium. RNAcentral's name for it is "partial 16S ribosomal RNA". It matches the Rfam family "Bacterial small subunit ribosomal RNA", at positions 30 to 523 of the family's 1533-position model. The record is from RNAcentral.